Molecule: unclassified non-coding RNA, 393 nt
Filed under: Hevea brasiliensis (rubber tree)
Lineage: Eukaryota; Viridiplantae; Streptophyta; Magnoliopsida; Malpighiales; Euphorbiaceae
Source: RNAcentral
GCUGAUGAGAUGGGAACCGAGAACCCAUCGAGCUGUUUUAAGAGACUGCAGGAGGAAUUACACAAUCAAACUACUAAGUAUAGUGAUGCACUGGUCAAAGCCCUCCUGAAUAAGAAGAAGAAAUGGCUGAGCGUGUUGUUGAAAUCUGGAGAAGAUUAGGAGACAACACUAACAGCAACAGCAACAACAACAUGGGUGAAUCAAAAGACAACAAUGGUAAUAGCAAUAGCAUGUCCCUCCCUAAAGACUCACUCUUUCUCUCACUAACAAGGAAAAAAAAAAAAGUUCUCUCUCGCUCUAAAAAUCUUCUCUUUUUUAUGUGAGCGUCACUUGAGAGAGCCGCAACAAGCAAAGUAGUAACAGGUGAGCUUGUCUCGUCCGGCAAAAACCUCC